RNAcentral lists this ribosomal RNA (484 nucleotides) under uncultured bacterium. RNAcentral describes it as "partial 16S ribosomal RNA". It matches the Rfam family "Bacterial small subunit ribosomal RNA", at positions 28 to 507 of the family's 1533-position model. The record is from RNAcentral.
GUUGAACGCUGGCGGCGUGCCUAACACAUGCAAGUCGAGCGGACGAACGAGGCUUUCUCCUGUCUGCAGCUGCGGGCGGGCGAGUGAUUCCUAGGAAUCUGCCUGAUAUUUGGGGAUAACGUCAGUUAACGGGCGCGGAUACCGCAUAGGUCCUUAUGUAGAAAGGGGGGGUUCUUUGGACCUCGCGCGAUUAGAUGAGCCUAGGUCGUAUUAGCUAGUUGGUGGGGUAAAGGCUUACCAAGGCGACGAUCCGUAACUGGCCUGAGAGGAUGAUCAGUCACACUGGAACUGAGACACGGUCCAGACUCCUACGGGAGGCAGCAGUGGGGAAUCUUGGACAAUGGGCGAAAGCCUGACGCAGCAACGCCGCGUGUGUGAAGAAGGUCUUCGGAUCGUAAAGCACUUUUAGUUGGGAAGAACGGAUGUAAGAUUAUCCAUUCAUGUCUUGACGUUACCUACAGAAAAAGCCCCGGCUAACUUCGUG